Molecule: ribosomal RNA, 253 nt
Filed under: uncultured bacterium
Lineage: Bacteria
Description: partial 16S ribosomal RNA
Rfam family: Bacterial small subunit ribosomal RNA
Source: RNAcentral
UACGUAGGGGGCUAGCGUUGUCCGGAUUUAUUGGGCGUAAAGAGCGUGUAGGCGGCCAGGUAGGUCUGCUGUGAAAACUCGAGGCUCAACCUCGAGCUGUCGGCGGAAACCAUCUGGCUAGAGUCCGGAAGAGGAGAGUGGAACUCCUGGUGUAGCGGUGAAAUGCGCAGAUAUCAGGAAGAACACCCGUGGCUAAGGCGGCUCUCUAGUACGUGACUGACGCUGAGACGCGAAAGCGUGGGGAGCGAACAGG